UCGGUGAGGCCUUCGGACUGGCCCAGGGAGGUCGGCAACGACCACCCAGGGCCGGAAAGUUGGUCAAACCCGGUCAUUUAGAGGAAGUAAAAGUCGUAACAAGGUCUCCGUAGGUGAACCUGCGGAGGGAUCAUU
This 135-nucleotide ribosomal RNA is filed under the name Cladosporium cladosporioides. RNAcentral describes it as "partial 18S ribosomal RNA". It matches the Rfam family "Eukaryotic small subunit ribosomal RNA", at positions 1698 to 1830 of the family's 1831-position model. The record is from RNAcentral. Lineage: Eukaryota; Fungi; Ascomycota; Dothideomycetes; Cladosporiales; Cladosporiaceae. RNAcentral also lists the same sequence under 9 other names.